GGCUUUGUGGCUCAGUGGUAGAGCGGUGCACUUGUAAUGCACAGGUCCCCGGAUCAAUCCCGGGCGGAGCCU
The sequence is a transfer RNA, 72 nucleotides long. It matches the Rfam family "tRNA". Rfam says of the family: Transfer RNA (tRNA) molecules are approximately 80 nucleotides in length. Their secondary structure includes four short double-helical elements and three loops (D, anti-codon, and T loops). The record is from Rfam.